This 254-nucleotide ribosomal RNA is filed under the name uncultured bacterium. RNAcentral's name for it is "partial 16S ribosomal RNA". It matches the Rfam family "Bacterial small subunit ribosomal RNA", at positions 524 to 776 of the family's 1533-position model. The record is from RNAcentral.
UACGUAGGCAGCGAGCGUUGUUCGGAAUUAUUGGGCGUAAAGAGCUCGUAGGCGGUUUGUCGCGUCUGCCGUGAAAGUCCGGGGCUCAACUCCGGAUCUGCGGUGGGUACGGGCAGACUAGAGUGAUGUAGGGGAGACUGGAAUUCCUGGCGUAGCGGUGAAAUGCGCAGAUAUCAGGAGGAACACCGAUGGCGAAGGCAGGUCUCUGGGCAUUAACUGACGCUGAGGAGCGAAAAGCAUGGGGAGCGAACAGG